GUGCCUGUAGCUCAGUAGGAUAGAGCAACUGCCUUCUAAGCAGUAGGUCCGGGGUUCGAAUCCCUGUAGGCACGCCA
RNAcentral lists this transfer RNA (77 nucleotides) under Clostridia bacterium. RNAcentral's name for it is "tRNA-Arg". It matches the Rfam family "tRNA". Rfam says of the family: Transfer RNA (tRNA) molecules are approximately 80 nucleotides in length. The record is from RNAcentral. Lineage: Bacteria; Bacillati; Bacillota; Clostridia.